This 598-nucleotide ribosomal RNA is filed under the name Enterobacteriaceae bacterium Y5BS2. RNAcentral's name for it is "bacterial SSU rRNA". It matches the Rfam family "Bacterial small subunit ribosomal RNA", at positions 69 to 660 of the family's 1533-position model. Lineage: Bacteria; Pseudomonadati; Pseudomonadota; Gammaproteobacteria; Enterobacterales; Enterobacteriaceae. The record is from RNAcentral.
CAGAGAGUAGCUUGCUACUUUGCUGACGAGUGGCGGACGGGUGAGUAAUGUCUGGGGAUCUGCCUGAUGGAGGGGGAUAACUACUGGAAACGGUAGCUAAUACCGCAUAAUGUCGCAAGACCAAAGCGGGGGACUUUCGGGCCUCGCACCAUCAGAUGAACCCAGAUGGGAUUAGCUAGUAGGUAGGGUAAUGGCUUACCUAGGCGACGAUCCCUAGCUGGUCUGAGAGGAUGACCAGCCACACUGGAACUGAGACACGGUCCAGACUCCUACGGGAGGCAGCAGUGGGGAAUAUUGCACAAUGGGCGCAAGCCUGAUGCAGCCAUGCCGCGUGUAUGAAGAAGGCCUUCGGGUUGUAAAGUACUUUCAGUCAGGAGGAAGGGUGUGAAAUUAAUACUUUCAUGCAUUGACGUUACUGACAGAAGAAGCACCGGCUAACUCCGUGCCAGCAGCCGCGGUAAUACGGAGGGUGCAAGCGUUAAUCGGAAUUACUGGGCGUAAAGCGCACGCAGGCGGUUUGUUAAGUCAGAUGUGAAAUCCCCGGGCUCAACCUGGGAACUGCAUUUGAAACUGGCAAGCUUGAGUCUUGUAGAGGGGG